Molecule: long non-coding RNA, 169 nt
Organism: Octopus sinensis (East Asian common octopus)
Lineage: Eukaryota; Metazoa; Mollusca; Cephalopoda; Octopoda; Octopodidae
Exons: 3
Source: RefSeq, a predicted model, not a curated record
ACCUAAUUGAAAUACUACAUAAAAGUGAGGAUAUAUAAACCUCAGAGGGAUAAAAAUAUCCAAGAUUAGACUGGUUGAAUUCCUAAUAAUAUAAGCACACACAUAUAUAUUAUUAUUAUAAAAACCAAGAGAGAAGAUGGAGAUAAGGUUAAUAAAAAUUUAUUAAUAC